Molecule: long non-coding RNA, 418 nt
Organism: Fundulus heteroclitus (mummichog)
Lineage: Eukaryota; Metazoa; Chordata; Actinopteri; Cyprinodontiformes; Fundulidae
Exons: 4
Source: RefSeq, a predicted model, not a curated record
UGACAAAAAGAAUAAUUGGUCCAAGCAGGAACUAUAAAUGCUGGGAGUUUGGUUAAAGCAGCUGAACUGAAAAUGGACGAAUCCAUCCUCAAGGAUGUACGUGGAAAAGAUUGUGUCGCAAUUGAAGUGCGGUACCACAAACGGUGCUACAAAGAAUGUACAAGAUUUCUGGUGGCUACAACAAGUGAUGAAAGGAUGCCAAAAGCCUGGGAGUAUGCCACUGUGUACACAGAAUUUUGUGACAAAAUAAUUCGGGCACAGUUGAUUAAAAAACAGGAAAUCUUCAGGAUGAAAAAGCUCUCUUCCCUGUUCCAGAAAAUGAUACGAGAACACCAUGGUCAUGGAAGUUACAGAUCAGAUCUUCUGAAGAAAAGACUGAGGCAAGACUUUCCCCAACUAAAUUUCUACAAGCCUCAGG